GGUAAAAUGGCUGAUAAUAGGCGAUAGAUUGUAAAUUUAUUAAUGAGAAUUUUCUCUUUUACUA
This 64-nucleotide transfer RNA is filed under the name Acanthacorydalis fruhstorferi. RNAcentral's name for it is "tRNA-Tyr". The record is from RNAcentral. Lineage: Eukaryota; Metazoa; Arthropoda; Insecta; Megaloptera; Corydalidae.